AUACGGAGGGUGCAAGCGUUGUUCGGAAUCACUGGGCGUAAAGGGCGCGCAGGCGGUUUGGUAAGUCAGAUGUGAAAGCGCAUGGCUCAACCAUGGAAGUGCAUUUGAAACUGUCAGACUUGAGUACUAGAGGGGAAAGUGGAAUUCCCGGUGUAGAGGUGAAAUUCGUAGAUAUCGGGAGGAAUACCGGUGGCGAAGGCGACUUUCUGGCUAGAUACUGACGCUGAGGCGCGAAAGCGUGGGGAGCAAACAGGAUUAGAAACCCUAGUAGUCC
Molecule: ribosomal RNA, 274 nt
Filed under: uncultured bacterium
Lineage: Bacteria
Description: partial 16S ribosomal RNA
Rfam family: Bacterial small subunit ribosomal RNA
Source: RNAcentral